This 578-nucleotide ribosomal RNA is filed under the name uncultured bacterium. Its description in RNAcentral is "bacterial SSU rRNA". It matches the Rfam family "Bacterial small subunit ribosomal RNA", at positions 338 to 916 of the family's 1533-position model. The record is from RNAcentral.
CCUACGGGAGGCAGCAGUGAGGAAUAUUGGGCAAUGCCCGCAAGGGUGACCCAGCAACGCCGCGUGAAGGAUGAAUGCCGUAAGGUUGUAAACUUCUGUUAGAGGGGACGAAUAGCUCUGAUCGCAUCAGAGUUUGACGGUACCCUCAGAGAAAGCCCCGGCUAACUACGUGCCAGCAGCCGCGGUAAUACGUAGGGGGCAAGCGUUGUCCGGAUUUACUGGGUGUAAAGGGCGCGCAGGCGGAAUCGUAAGUCAGAGGUGAAAUCCUGCAGCUUAACUGCAGAACUGCCUUUGAUACUGCGAUUCUUGAGUGCGGAAGAGAGAGACGGAAUUCCAGGUGUAGUGGUGAAAUAUGUAGAUAUCUGGAAGAACACCAGUUGCGAAGGCGGUCUCUUGGUCCGUAACUGACGCUCAGGCGCGAAAGCGUGGGUAGCAAACAGGAUUAGAUACCCUGGUAGUCCACGCUGUAAACGAUGAAUACUAGGUGUUGGGUCGCAAGAUUCAGUGCCGCAGCAAACGCAUUAAGUAUUCCACCUGGGGAGUACGAUCGCAAGGUUGAAACUCAAAUGAAUUGACGG